AAAGUUUGAAUAAAAAAAUGUUAAUUUUUUUAAAAAGAAUUAUAAUAACUAUAUUUAAGAAUUAAUCUUCAAUUAAAAAUAAAAAAAUUUUUUAUUAAAAUAUCUUUCAAAUAAAAUUAUAUUUAAAAUUACUUAGAAAUUAAUUAUGUUAAAAUUAGUAUAAAAUAUUAUGUUAAUUUAAGGAACUCGGCUUUCAUCUGUUUAUCAAAAACAUAGUCUUAUGAAAAUAUAAGGUGUAACCUGCCCACUGGUUUUAAAUGGCCGCAGUACUUUGACUGUGCUAAGGUAGCAUAAUAAAUUGACUUUUAAUUGGGGCCUUGAAUGAAAGGAUUAAUGGAUAAUUUCUGUCUUUAAUAAAUAAAUUUAAAUUUACUUAAAAGGUGAAAAUUCCUUUAAUUUAAUAUAAUAGACGAGAAGACCCUAGGAGUUAUUUUGUUGGGGCGACAAUAUAGCAUAACCUAUAUAUUUUUAAUAACGAAAAAUUUUAAUAAUAAUUUAACUACCCUAGGGAUAACAGCAUAAUUUUAAUUAAAGUUUGUGACCUCGAUGUUGGACUAGGAACUUUUAAAGCUAACAGCGUUAA
RNAcentral lists this ribosomal RNA (583 nucleotides) under Peloparion helenae. Its description in RNAcentral is "partial large subunit ribosomal RNA". The stretch from base 195 to 336 matches the Rfam family "Archaeal large subunit ribosomal RNA", at positions 1889 to 2083 of the family's 2987-position model. The record is from RNAcentral. Lineage: Eukaryota; Metazoa; Mollusca; Gastropoda; Stylommatophora; Helicarionidae.